UAGUGGCGAACGGGUGAGUAACACGUGGGCAAUCUGCCCUUCACUCUGGGACAAGCCCUGGAAACGGGGUCUAAUACCGGAUAACACUCUGUCCCGCAUGGGACGGGGUUAAAAGCUCCGGCGGUGAAGGAUGAGCCCGCGGCCUAUCAGCUUGUUGGUGGGGUGAUGGCCUACCAAGGCGACGACGGGUAGCCGGCCUGAGAGGGCGACCGGCCACACUGGGACUGAGACACGGCCCAGACUCCUACGGGAGGCAGCAGUGGGGAAUAUUGCACAAUGGGCGAAAGCCUGAUGCAGCGACGCCGCGUGAGGGAUGACGGCCUUCGGGUUGUAAACCUCUUUCAGCAGGGAAGAAGCGAAAGUGACGGUACCUGCAGAAGAAGCGCCGGCUAACUACGUGCCAGCAGCCGCGGUAAUACGUAGGGCGCAAGCGUUGUCCGGAAUUAUUGGGCGUAAAGAGCUCGUAGGCGGCUUGUUGCGUCGGUUGUGAAAGCCCGGGGCUA
Molecule: ribosomal RNA, 503 nt
Filed under: Streptomyces sp. 313H02
Lineage: Bacteria; Bacillati; Actinomycetota; Actinomycetes; Kitasatosporales; Streptomycetaceae
Description: bacterial SSU rRNA
Rfam family: Bacterial small subunit ribosomal RNA
Source: RNAcentral